RNAcentral lists this ribosomal RNA (395 nucleotides) under uncultured bacterium. RNAcentral describes it as "bacterial SSU rRNA". It matches the Rfam family "Bacterial small subunit ribosomal RNA", at positions 114 to 507 of the family's 1533-position model. The record is from RNAcentral.
CACGUACGCAAUCUCGCCCUUAUCGAGGGGAUAGCCAGAGUAAUUUGGAUUAACUACCGAUAGUAUUAUAAUAAGGCAUCUUGUUGUAAUUAAAGCUAUGGCGGAUAAGGAUGAGCGUGCGCAAGAUUAGCUAGUUGGUGAGGUAACGGCUCACCAAGGCGACGAUCUUUAGCUGAUGUGAGAGCAUGAUCAGCCACACGGGCACUGAGACACGGGCCCGACUCCUACGGGAGGCAGCAGUGAGGAAUAUUGGUCAAUGGACGGAAGUCUGAACCAGCCAUGCCGCAUGAAGGAUGAAGGCGUUCCGCGUUGUAAACUUCUUUUAUUUAGGAAGAAACCACCGAUUUCUAUUGGUGUUGACGGUAUUAAAUGAAUAAGCACCGGCUAACUCCGUG